CAGUUUCACCAGAAUCAGUGAAAUAGUUGCUGCUGUGUGACUUAGUGCCGUGAAGCGUUACGUACUUCUCAGAGUUACACAGUGUGAGAACAGACGUACGAUGUUCACGACGUUCGUUUAUCAGAGCAACGUUACGUUUUGGUUGACAUAAGUAACCGGACAGGACGCGACCUCACUUCGGUUCUCUAUAAUCCAUUCACGGUAUCAUGGGGGUUGUACUGAGGCAGAACAGUUUGAAAUGAGUCUGACAGGAAGUCAGACAUCCCGUCACACACUGGACCUUUAAAAUCCACAGUACACUGUAAAAAAACAUCAACUCUCCGGAGAUAUUUAACCAGAUUGUUCGUCCUUUUUCUCACUGUAUCGUCGUCUUUGUACCGCAGAUGCUUGAGUUGCUCAUUCAUCUGCACACAGUGUAACAUUUCAUCGUUUCUGAUUAAACGUCUCGCCUCCGGCGCCCGAACGCCGCUCCCUAACUAACUUUGUGUGUUUGUGCAGAUAGCAUGCAGCGCUGAGCUUCUUUUACAGUGUGUGUGCGAUCCCGUGACAUCGAUGUUAAUUCAACACACCUCGAGUGUGUGAAGCCCAGAGAUGAUCCGGGGCCGGCUUUAAAGCGCUUUGGGCUCCUCAUCAAACAGAAUGGAGAUCCGAACAUGACGGAUGACGGAUGAAGGAUGGACUUUUCCAGGGAUGAAAGCGGAGAAUGAAGAUGUGUGCACACAGAUCACACAGCUGUGGACAGAAACAAAAGCUCUGUACUGUACACGAGACUUUCUGUGUUUGUAAUUCUGGUUUUACAUCACGCCCUUCAUCUCUUACAGCUCCCCUCCAUCCAUCCAUCCAUCCAUCCAUCCAUCCAUCCAUCCAUCCAUCCAUCCAUCCAUCCGUAAUUAAAGCAUCGCAGGGCGACUCAGCAUGUUUGCAGCUCCAAACAGGCUGCGGAGAGAUAACGUGUCUGAACUUCAAUACCCAGAAACCCUUUCAGGCGACAUCAGUGAGCGGAGCGACAUUCUCCGAUACCAGAAAAGGAGAGCAAAGAUAACAUGCUGUUUUUGGAGGAAGAGGUCGUUUCUGCAAGUCUUACUGCACCAAACGCCACCAAGGAGCUGUUGGCUGAACGUGCCUGGAAUAAAGCAAGCGGCGUGGACUCGUACAGCGUGUGCCCGACUGUAAUGAGAACCACCAGCUGAACGUUCUGCUGCCUUCUCUAACAGCAGCUCAAUGCAAGUACAAAAGCUGAACACAAGGCCUGAGUUUGAUUGAAUCUUCUCUCGGGCUCCUCGCCUCAGCUUCUUUACUCUUGACAAGAUAAAGAUGACACACACACACACACACACACUUCAUGGAGUGGAUUCCAGGAACACUAUUUGUGCAUUAAGGCUGUUAUGUGAAACCUCGACUCCUCAUGUUCAUGCAGAACCACCACAGGGAUGUUUUACCCUCGGGGCCUCCUGGAAUAUCUCCUGUGUGGAUGCUGUCCUACACCGAGCUCACUGCCUCCUGACCUCCUGCUGCUGUUUGCAGAGGGAGCCAAAGAAAGUGUGGACUGUGAUGUAACCUGACAUAAAUCUGACAUGUGGGAAU
Molecule: long non-coding RNA, 1584 nt
Organism: Larimichthys crocea (large yellow croaker)
Lineage: Eukaryota; Metazoa; Chordata; Actinopteri; Sciaenidae
Exons: 3
Source: RefSeq, a predicted model, not a curated record